UACGGAGGGUGCAAGCGUUAUCCGGAAUCACUGGGUUUAAAGGGUGCGUAGGCGGCGCGAUAAGUCAGAGGUGAAAGACUGCGGCUCAACCGUAGAAUUGCCUUUGAUACUGUUGUGCUUGAAUUAGGUUGAGGUUAGCGGAAUGUGACAUGUAGCGGUGAAAUGCAUAGAUAUGUCAUAGAACACCAAUUGCGAAGGCAGCUGGCUAGACCUUAAUUGACGCUGAGGCAAGAAAGCGUGGGGAGCGAACAGG
This 253-nucleotide ribosomal RNA is filed under the name uncultured bacterium. RNAcentral describes it as "partial 16S ribosomal RNA". It matches the Rfam family "Bacterial small subunit ribosomal RNA", at positions 524 to 776 of the family's 1533-position model. The record is from RNAcentral.